UUUAAAAUUACAACAGAAUAAAAAUAAAAUCGAACUUCGUUUUAAAAAAAAAAAAAUCGAAGACCCUUUCCCCUAAAUGAUCGAUUAAUUGACAACUCAGCUACUCAUGUUUACAAAAUAAUUAAUAAGCAAUUUUAUCAUUUCCCUCUCCGGUUAAAACGCCUCUUUUUCAAUCUCCACGAUCUCCACCUUCCAUGAUCUCAACUUCCUCUAAUAACUUCUUUAAGAUCCAAUAUAAAACUUACUGUACUAACUAAUUUAUUUCUUCAAAAUUACUCGGCAAACUGUUUAUCAACAAAUUUUAUCUUUUUAUCUUCCAAAUGAUUUGGACCAAAUCUUACAACGUAAGUUUUUGUAUGUCCUACUAACUCUUUACACCUCAAACUGGAUCAUCCAUGGCCGCCUUCUUUCGAAAACAAUUGACAACCCAAUCGUUGGCGGAGACCAAAUAAAACAACUAGAUCAAACAUGUACUAGACGUCAACAACGAUGAAGACGUUGGCGAGAAACAAUAAGGAUGGACUUAGAUCUAAAAGAUUUGAUCGUCUGGAGGACGCAAAGCUCUCGCAUGAAGAGUUCGUCAUGGUCAAAACAGA
This is a long non-coding RNA of Arabidopsis lyrata subsp. lyrata, 596 nucleotides long. RefSeq lists it as uncharacterized. Lineage: Eukaryota; Viridiplantae; Streptophyta; Magnoliopsida; Brassicales; Brassicaceae. The transcript has 2 exons. The record is from RefSeq and is a predicted model, not a curated record.